GUGGCUCAGACGGUAAAGCGUCUGCCUACAAUGCGGGAGACCCAGGUUCAAUCCCUGGC
This 59-nucleotide transfer RNA is filed under the name Ovis aries (sheep). It matches the Rfam family "tRNA", at positions 7 to 64 of the family's 71-position model. From Rfam's summary of the family: Transfer RNA (tRNA) molecules are approximately 80 nucleotides in length. Their secondary structure includes four short double-helical elements and three loops (D, anti-codon, and T loops). Lineage: Eukaryota; Metazoa; Chordata; Mammalia; Artiodactyla; Bovidae. The record is from Rfam by way of RNAcentral.